RNAcentral lists this unclassified non-coding RNA (231 nucleotides) under Fimbristylis velata. The record is from RNAcentral. Lineage: Eukaryota; Viridiplantae; Streptophyta; Magnoliopsida; Poales; Cyperaceae.
GCCCAUCCACGCUCAGGUGCAUUAUAGGUGUUCCUGAUGCGGACAUUGGCCCUCCGAGCCGCAAGGUUGCGACGGGCUCAAGUACAAUGGCUAUCGGCUGAGGUCGGGAGCGACGAGUGGUGGGCUACAAGCUAGCGUUCGUCGCCCCUCAACCUCACGUGAUGUAUGCCUUUAUGACCCUUAACGAGCAUCACGUCGCGGCAGCGUUAUGUUGUGCGACAUGUUCGGACU